Molecule: ribosomal RNA, 40 nt
Filed under: Crataegus douglasii
Lineage: Eukaryota; Viridiplantae; Streptophyta; Magnoliopsida; Rosales; Rosaceae
Description: partial 26S ribosomal RNA
Source: RNAcentral
CGACCCCAGGUCAGGCGGGGUUACCCACUGAAUUUAAGCA